AUACCGGAUAGAGCAUCGAUCGCUGGAAUGCAUGAUGCUCGAAAACUGAGGCGCCAAAGGAUAGGUCUGCGGCCGAUUAGGUUGUUGUUGAUGUAACGGAUCAACAAGCCUCCGAUCGGUAUGGGUUGUGAGAGCAAUAGCCCAGAGAUGGGUUCUGAGAGAAGAACCCAGGUCCUACGGGACGCAUCAGGCGCGAAAACUUUACAAUGUGCGAAAGCACGAUAAGGGAACUCUGAGUGCCUCCUAAGGAGGCUGUUCAGGUGUCUAAAAAGCAUCUGAAGGAAGGGCUGGGUAAGACCGGUGCCAGCCGCCGCGGUAACACCGGCAGCCCAAGUGGUGGCCACUUUUACUGGGUCUAAAGCGUUCGUAGCCGGCCAGGUAAGUUCCUUGGGAAAUUUGACCGCUUAACGGUCAAGCUUUCAGGGAAUACUGCGUGGCUUGAGACCGGGAGAGGUCAGAGGUACCUCAAGGGUAGGGGUGAAAUCCGUUAAUCCUUGGGGGACCACCAGUAGCGAAGGCGUCUGACCAGAGCGGAUCCGACGGUCAGGAACGAAGGCUAGGGUAGCGAACCGGAUUAGAUACCCGGGUAGUCCUAGCAGUAAACGAUGCGGGCUA
This 615-nucleotide ribosomal RNA is filed under the name uncultured archaeon. RNAcentral's name for it is "bacterial SSU rRNA". It matches the Rfam family "Archaeal small subunit ribosomal RNA", at positions 149 to 769 of the family's 1478-position model. The record is from RNAcentral.